This 3856-nucleotide long non-coding RNA is filed under the name Equus caballus (horse). RNAcentral's name for it is "lncRNA (ENSECAG00000052073.1)". The record is from RNAcentral. Lineage: Eukaryota; Metazoa; Chordata; Mammalia; Perissodactyla; Equidae.
CAGGAAACCAUUAGUAUUUCAACAAGAGAACGCAGCAGUUUAAUAAUCAUCCCUAUUCAGGAUGAUUCAAAUUUUGGUGCUAAAGAACCAUCAUCUCCUGCCCCAGCACCUGCUCACCAUCAUCUUGCAUAUCAAAGUCAACCAGUGAUAUCAUGCCCUUCUCAUAUGAUGCCUCCGGAGCAACACGUACCACCUCCAUCUCCUCCACCACUACCAAGCCAUCCAAUGUCAUAUUCUCUCCAGAAUUCAGGUACUCCUCACCUGGUUUGCAGUUAAGUGCCGCCUCCACCCAUGACUUCUGAUCCAUCACCAAUGACUUCUUCCUCUGGAUGUAUUAUUGCCCAGGUGCCACCUUAUAUUACUCCUCCUCCUCCAAGGUCUCCUCUGUCUCAAAAUGGUGGUCCACCUGUAAGGGAAUUCCCUUUGAACCGUUGUAAUCCUAACUCUUUAUCCAAGUUCAUUGAAGAACAGGAAACUCUGAGCCCUCCAUUUACACAACCAGAUGGAACAAAUCCUGGUAUAUGGCGUGUAUCAAAAGAACAUUUACCUCCUCCACCAAUGCAAGCUCCACCUUCCCCAUUUCCACUGCCUGGCUCACAUUCAGAUCAGACAAGAUAUAGACCAUAUUAACAAUGAUAAUAGUAUUUUGAACUGAAGAGCUGAUAAGGUAAAAACCUUAAAUAUAGUCAAUCUUUUAAUUAAACUUUGACCAUUUUGGGAAGGAAAAGCUGUAAAACACUGAGGAUCUUGUCUCUUAAAAUGGUUUAAGCCUUGACUUUACCAUUUAUUUCAAGUUCUGUAACGUAGUGUGGAUAAAUGGCUCAGCUGAGCAUAGCUGUAUUUUAACAACUUUGUUCCCUUAGUGUGGGAAAUUGACCCAGAGGUGACCUUUUGUAAUAUGAAUUCCUGAAAUAAGUGUGCAUUGUUCCACUUUCAAAAGUAUUGUUUUUGUUUAUUUUUUUGUGAUUAUUUUGUUAACCUGUGUCAAAGGUUUAAAUUUCAAUAUGGUUGUAAAAAUGCCAUUUUUAUGUGAAUUUAAGCACAGUCACAUACUGUUUUUUUAAAAAACCAUGUUUUACUACUAAUUUCACAAAGUACAAUAAAAAUCCUACAAGUGAAAAUCUAGAAUAUACUGUAAGGCAGACAGCUAAAUGAUAGAGAAUUAUUUUACAUUUUAGGCACUGAAAUUUUGAGGUAUAAUAAGUAUAUAAUGCCUUUCAUUUGGAUGCCUUUCAUUUCUAGGCAGCCCCAGAAGCACCAAAAUACAUCGGAAUUCCAGUACUAUGAUAGAUUUAUGUUUGUAAUGUUAAAAGGCAUUACUAAAUCAUUUGGAAAGAUAUGGCUAAAGUAAUUGACUCUGUAGGCUCCAAGCUAGUGGGGAUGCUGUUACUUGUUAAUACUUUUUUUUCAGAAUGGUUGGAAUCACAUAAUGCACCACACUUCUUAGUCUUAAGUAACGUUAUAUUAUAGCACUGUUUAAAUGGUGUCAUUUGGAUGAAGUGUGUACUACUCUGCUCAUUGUCUUAAACUAAAUAUUUAGGGCUGAAUAGACUUUAGUAUAAUUCCUCAUUUCAUGGUAGAGUUUGGUCCCCUUCUUAUGGUUUCUUGUUUAUUGGGUUUUAAACUACAACUUAAGUUCCAUGGAGGAAUUUGAAUAAUGUAUUCAUGAUAGGCAUUCUUAUAGUUACAACUUGCAUUUGCUUGGGUUUCAUUAUUGUGUGAUAAAUGUUUUCCCUCUAAAUUGAAAUAAAACACUAUUCUUUCCUAUUUCUUUUACUGGUAAAGGAUGCUAAACUUGGAACAUUUUAUCAUGAAGUUAACAGUGAAGACUCCCAGAUGACUUUGUAUUGGAGAAGAGAAAAGUAAUGGCCAAACUAUAUGAAUUUCACUGCUUUAUAAGGUGUCUUUAGAAUCACUUUUGCGUCACAGGGACUUGUUAUAUUCCUGCUAAGGUGACCACUUACACUUUAUACAGAAUUCAUAUGGAUGAAUUAAGAUUCUUAGGAUAUUACUAUAUAUCAUUUGAAUAAACCAUCAUGAAGUUUUCCUCCCCAAAUGGUACCUAAUAUAAACAUGAAAUGUCUAGUGUAUGGAUACAAUCUGUUAGAUAGUUUAUAGCAUAUAAAUUUAGAACAUAUUUCUUUUUGGCAAAGGAUGAACUGAUGGCUAAUUUAUCAUUUUAUUCUGUUGGAUAAAGGCAAAACCAAAUUCUUAUUUUGGCUGAUCAGAUGCAAACAUAUCUAUGAGCUUAGAGCUGAAGUUAGAAAUAAUAUAAAUGGCCGUUUUAACCUUGACCAGCCUAAAAUAACUAAUAUACUUUUUUGUAAAAGUAAGUGAUUUUUCACACCUAGCAAUUUGAGAAUCCAGUGUUAAUGCAAUAUUUCUAGUGAGAAAGCCUUGUUAUUAGAAGUACUGAGUGUAAUAGUGUGAAAUAUUAGUGGUAAAUGCUUCUAUCAUAUUAUUGUAUGUCCUUGGACUGGUACAAACUUGAUUCCUUUUUUUGCCUGAGUUCAGAAGCUGUUAUAAUAUUACUGUUAAAAUACAGCACCGUUCUUUGUUUCCUGUAAUAAAAAAAAAUAGCCAAAUUCACUGUAAGUCUUCUCAGCUAUCUGUGAAGAGCUCUCCUGCUUUUAUUGAAAUUCACUAGGGUUGAAUGCGGCAUGAAACCACUUAGAUGAUGUAUUGGAUCAAAAAAUCAGUAUUGUGAUAAAAUUUCACAUGUUAAAAGAGGUAGACUUUUAAAAAAUGGUGUAUUUUCAGUUAGGUUUAGGAAAUAUAUGUUAUUCAGCAAAGCAGAUCAGAUGGAUGUGUUGUAGCGGACAGAAUUUUUAAACAGCCUUAGAUAUGAAUUCAUCGAGUUGUUGUUUGAAUGACUGUGGUGAGUAGAAAGAUAACAAAAUUACUGUUAAUGUUUGUUUCUUUAAGGAAAAAAAAAUGUGAAUCCUACCUUAUGUCAGAGGAGGCUUUGAAGCUAUAAUGGACACAGAUCUAAAUUAAAGAAGUACCGCUGAAUUUGUGUUGAUCUAUCCACACGGUGCAACUCAUCUCCCCUUGAGACCAAGGAUACAUCCUGACAAGGUGGGAAAAAAGGAAGCUAAGAAGACGGCUUAAAAAUCUCCAGUGGGAGUUUUAACUCAAAUAGAAUGAAGGUGAUGAUGAAGAUGGUCUGGAAGCACAUUUUCAAGGAACAUGAGUUGAGGUUUUCAAUCUUAGGCCAAAUGAAGGACUGCGUUUUCCUCAGGGAUGAGAUUGCAUUUAUGUUGUUCUUCCUGAAUUUCAUUAGCUUCUCACUCCCAACUUGAAAGAAGACUGUGAAAGGCAAUGAAGACAUUGAGAAUGUGGCAGCAAAUGCUGAAUAUAAAGUAGAAAAAAAUGAAAGUCUUCCCUUUGAAUUUAAAGAAAAUAAUGGUCUUGGCACUCUAAUCGUUGGGUUUGAUAUUGAAACAGCCUGAGGAUUGUCAAAACCAGGGAAAUUGCAUGAAUCUGAAACUUGAGGCCAGAACUGCUUGAAAAGAUAGAUAGAUUCAAGGAUGUGGCCAGGUUGUCGAGAUGGAUUGUACAAAUUUAGCAGGAGUAACUUAAUUUUUUUGUUCUCGCUGUUCUUCAAUAACAAAACCUCCAAAACAGUAAAAGACUAUCAAGGCUUGAAACAGAUGGGAAAAACAGAUGCACCUUGAGUUUUCCUACAGACAAAGCUCGCAAAUAUCCUGGGAGAUAGGCUGAGAAGGAUAUAUUCCUGCGAGCAUUGUGGAUUUGUCCAUCUCAAGCCCCAGAGAUCUGGCUUGUCUGACAGUGGCAAGAUUAACUGUUGCACUUAAAAAACUUAGUUUCAUGAUUUUUGUUAUAAGUAUUAUAA